UGGAUCCAGAUUUGAUUCUGGCUCAGGAUGAACGCUAGCUACAGGCUUAACACAUGCAAGUCGAGGGGAAACGACAUCGAAAGCUUGCUUUUGAUGGGCGUCGACCGGCGCACGGGUGAGUAACGCGUAUCCAACCUGCCCACCACUUGGGGAUAACCUUGCGAAAGUAAGACUAAUACCCAAUGAUAUCUCUAGAAGACAUCUGAAAGAGAUUAAAGAUUUAUCGGUGAUGGAUGGGGAUGCGUCUGAUUAGCUUGUUGGCGGGGUAACGGCCCACCAAGGCUACGAUCAGUAGGGGUUCUGAGAGGAAGGUCCCCCACAUUGGAACUGAGACACGGUCCAAACUCCUACGGGAGGCAGCAGUGAGGAAUAUUGGUCAAUGGACGAGAGUCUGAACCAGCCAAGUAGCGUGCAGGAUGACGGCCCUAUGGGUUGUAAACUGCUUUUAUAAGGGAAUAAAGUGAGUCUCGUGAGGCUUUUUGCAUGUACCUUAUGAAUAAGGACCGGCUAAUUCCGUGCCAGCAGCCGCGGUAAUACGGAAGGUCCGGGCGUUAUCCGGAUUUAUUGGGUUUAAAGGGAGCGUAGGCCGGAGAUUAAGCGUGUUGUGAAAUGUAGACGCUCAACGUCUGCACUGCAGCGCGAACUGGUUUCCUUGAGUACGCACAAAGUGGGCGGAAUUCGUGGUGUAGCGGUGAAAUGCUUAGAUAUCACGAAGAACUCCGAUUGCGAAGGCAGCUCACUGGAGCGCAACUGACGCUGAAGCUCGAAAGUGCGGGUAUCGAACAGGAUUAGAUACCCUGGUAGUCCGCACGGUAAGCGAUGGAUGCCCGCUGUUGGUCUGAAUAGGUCAGCGGC
RNAcentral lists this ribosomal RNA (855 nucleotides) under uncultured Bacteroidota bacterium. Its description in RNAcentral is "bacterial SSU rRNA". It matches the Rfam family "Bacterial small subunit ribosomal RNA", at positions 1 to 847 of the family's 1533-position model. Lineage: Bacteria; Pseudomonadati; Bacteroidota. The record is from RNAcentral.